This 520-nucleotide ribosomal RNA is filed under the name uncultured bacterium. Its description in RNAcentral is "bacterial SSU rRNA". It matches the Rfam family "Archaeal small subunit ribosomal RNA", at positions 345 to 866 of the family's 1478-position model. The record is from RNAcentral.
AACCUCCGCAAUGUGAGAAAUCGCGACGGGGGGAUCCCAAGUGCCAUUCUUAACGGGAUGGCUUUUCAUUAGUGUAAAGAGCUUUUGGAAUAAGAGCUGGGCAAGACCGGUGCCAGCCGCCGCGGUAACACCGGCAGCUCUAGUGGUAACAAUUUUUAUUGGGCCUAAAGCGUCCGUAGCCGGUUUAAUAAGUCUCUGGUGAAAUCCUGUAGCUUAACUGUGGGAAUUGCUGGAGAUACUAUUAGACUUGAGAUCGGGAGAGGUUAGAGGUACUCCCAGGGUAGAGGUGAAAUUCUGUAAUCCUGGGAGGACCGCCUGUUGCGAAGGCGUCUAACUGGAACGAUUCUGACGGUGAGGGACGAAAGUUAGGGGCGCGAACCGGAUUAGAUACCCGGGUAGUCCUAACUGUAAACGAUGCGGACUUGGUGUUGGGGUGGCUUUGAGCUGCUCCAGUGCCGAAGGGAAGCUGUAAGUCCGCCGCCUGGGAAGUACGGUCGCAAGACUGAAACUUAAAGGAAGU